Molecule: non-coding RNA, 1505 nt
Organism: Nothobranchius furzeri (turquoise killifish)
Lineage: Eukaryota; Metazoa; Chordata; Actinopteri; Cyprinodontiformes; Nothobranchiidae
Source: RefSeq, a predicted model, not a curated record
AAAAACUAUAUUAUCUCUGUGGAUUACCGUGGCUGGGUGUAUGCGUAGUGACCCUUACCAGCCACCGUAUCAUCUGCUGAAGUUGCCGGCGGCACAUGCGCACUUUGUUGUUUACGGCCAAAAUUUUCUUGAAGCUAAAGCUGAAAUAAUGGCCAAAGGAGGAGACGGCAGUGCUCAGGACAUUUAUUAUCCCUCAAAGAAGACAAAGAGGGAAGUAUGUGCAUAUUUUGGAUAUUUGAAGAAUGCCGAGGGACAGUUGAUAGAAGACGGCUAUCCUGUUUGCAGCACGUGCAGGAAAAAGUGUCUGUGAAAGGCAGCAACGCUUCAAAUCUCAUGACACAUCUGCGUGACCAUCACCCACAACUCUACAGUCAACGCAAGGCAAGUUAGCGUUAGCGUUUUAGCUAAAAUGCGUGAUCCGAGGAUUUGGGUUGAGGGAGAAUGCAACGAGUGGCCUCAGAGCAGCCGCAGCGCCGCUACCUGCAUAUAAACCGUGUCGCGGACACUCCCAUGUUGAAAUGACGCUAUGCAUUACGGGGCUCCCAGGGGCAGAUAAGAGUUGGUCUCUCUGCUAGAAUAAUCAUGAAUUUAACAAUGAUUACUGCCUGAUGACAUUUUCCCACAUCUGCAAAGCUCACUGGAAGGACACAAACCGAGGACAACAUUUUCCUGAUACAGCGUUAAGCCACAUGAUGCUGACUUCCGUGACCUGCUGAAGCAUGCUACACACUCAGGAUAACCAUGGUAACACGACGUGUCUUCCAGAAUAACCAGAGCUGAAUCAGGACGUCUGAACAACAGAACCUUCACAACGUUGGUACUUACUGCAGGACUGUUCAUUUGCAUCUGUUAAAUAAUUUACCACUUACGGUCAGGUUGGGAUUAGAGUCUUUACUUGAAGACAGAACAAGAAGAAUUAUUAACAAUGAAAUAGCAGCAUAAAUAAAUAACUAGAUCAUUAAUUAAAAAGUUUCAGGUCAAACUGCUGCCUUUGCAUUCAUGUCCAUCUUCAUGUAUUCACAUGAUCCUAAGUGGUGAUGAGCAACAAUCAGUUGGGUGGAAGCAGCUGGUCUGGUCAGUGAUGGAGUAAAUGCUGGUAAGUGGAGUGGUGCAGCUGGCUGGGUGAUGGGGCCUUUUACAGGAUCACUGGUAUUAAAAGGAAUGGUAAGGGAGCUAAAAUCCCUCCAAAAACACCACCCAUCUGUACUGGUGCUGGAGCGUUGGUGGAGGUUUGCAUGUUGUGGUGCUAGAUGAUGUGUUUCUUUGUUUUUGUCUCUUUUCAUCCGGGUUCUGGUGUGAGAGAGAGGGAUCCUCUAGUCCUGAAGAAGUCUGGAGCUUGCUGAGCUCACUGAAGCAGAAGUUCUUUUGUGGGGUCUCGUGAGACUAAAACAUGUCAAUGCCUGACUGAAAAUGUUUGUGCAGGUUGAACUUAUCACACAGUUUUCUGUUAUUAUGAUCUCUGGAUUUUAAUGAAGAAAUAAAUAAAAAAUGUUUUUCUUUUUUGA